AUUGAACGCUGGCGGAAUGCUUAACACAUGCAAGUCGAGCGGCAGCGCGGCCUUCGGGCUGGCGGCGAGCGGCGAACGGGUGAGUAAUGCAUCGGAACAUGCCCAGUCGUGGGGUAUAACACCUCGAAAGAAGUGCUAAUAACGCAUACGUCCUGAGGGGGAAAGCGGGGGAUCGCAAGACAUUGUGCGAUGGGAGUGGUCGAUGUGAGACUAGCUAGUUGGUGGGGUAAAGGCCUACCAAGGCGAGGAUCUGUAGCUGGUCUGAGAGGAUGAUCAGCCACACUGGGACUUGGACGCGGCCCAGACUCCUACGGUAGGCAGCAGUGGGGAAUUUUGGACAAUAGUGGCAACCCUGAUCCAGCCAUUCCGCGUGAGUGAAGAAGGCCUUCGGGUUGGAAAGCUCUUUCGGCAGGAGCGAAACGGUUGGCUCUAACAUAGUCCGCUAAUGACGGUACCUGAAGAAGAAGCACCGGCUAACUACGUG
This 484-nucleotide ribosomal RNA is filed under the name uncultured bacterium. Its description in RNAcentral is "partial 16S ribosomal RNA". It matches the Rfam family "Bacterial small subunit ribosomal RNA", at positions 30 to 507 of the family's 1533-position model. The record is from RNAcentral.